CCUACGGGAGGCAGCAGUGGGGAAUAUUGGACAAUGGGGGGAACCCUGAUCCAGCCAUGCCGCGUGUGUGAAGAAGGCCCUCGGGUUGUAAAGCACUUUCAGUGAGGAAGAACGCCUGGUGGUUAAUACCCAUCAGGAAAGACAUCACUCACAGAAGAAGCACCGGCUAACUCCGUGCCAGCAGCCGCGGUAAUACGGAGGGUGUGAGCGUUAAUCGGAAUUACUGGGCGUAAAGCGCGCGUAGGUGGCUUGAUAAGCCGGUUGUGAAAGCCCCGGGCUCAACCUGGGAACGGCAUCCGGAACUGUCAAGCUAGAGUGCAGGAGAGGAAGGUAGAAUUCCCGGUGUAGCGGUGAAAUGCGUAGAGAUCGGGAGGAAUACCAGUGGCGAAGGCGGCCUUCUGGACUGACACUGACACUGAGGUGCGAAAGCGUGGGUAGCAAACAGGAUUAGAUACCCGUGUAGUC
Molecule: ribosomal RNA, 465 nt
Filed under: Vreelandella stevensii
Lineage: Bacteria; Pseudomonadati; Pseudomonadota; Gammaproteobacteria; Oceanospirillales; Halomonadaceae
Description: partial 16S ribosomal RNA
Rfam family: Bacterial small subunit ribosomal RNA
Source: RNAcentral